GUGAGCUAAUAAAUGCCUGCUAUUUUAAGGUGCUCAGUUUGGGAGUAAUUUGUUAUAGAGCAUUAGGUAACAAGGACACAGACAAACUAUUAAAAUUCAAUACUUUCUAUCCUUUGACCUUGACAUAGUAUACCUAAAGACUCCCUGUGGAAUUCCCCAUCAUGGCGCAGGGGAAAUGAAUCCUACUAGGAACCAUGAGGUUGCAGGUUUGGUCCCUGGCCUCAAUCAGUGGGUUAAUGAUCCGGCAUUGCCCUGAGCUGUGGUGUAGUUUGCAGAUGUGGCCCGAAUCCAGCAUUGCUGUGGCUCUGGCAUAGGCUGGCCGCUGUAGCUCUGAUUUGACCCCUAGCCUGGGAACCUCCAACUGCUGCGGAUGCAGCCCUAAAAAGCAAAAAAACAAAACAAACAAACAAAAAAACCCAAAAAAACCCUUCCCUGGAAGGUGAAUUUUUGGACUCUUUGGAGUUUUGCACCAGAAUAGGGUGGGAGGGGAGAACUGGACUUUGGUGUGAGGCCACCCUCCUUCUGUUCCCACCCAGGCUCCACUCCCUCCACCCCAGGUCUUGUUUGUACUCAAGCGUUAAAACUCCAUACAACUCCCCCUGCAAGUAGUCGCCCUGGGACCCCUCUGUAGAAGGGGCCUGGCCUGCCCUCUAGAUGUUGGAUCUGGCCGGAAGCCUGCACAGGCCCAUCAUUUGGCUGAGGAAAUCCAGGGGUCAAAUUCCCCCAGGCAUGCUUUACAAGGGGAGGAGACACGUCCUCUUGACCCCAGAGACUCCUGACGCCAGGGAGCUGCAGCUGGAGGGCCAAGAGAGGAUUUUACAAGGCACAGGAAUCAAGGCAGGGGCCUCCCCUUGCCUGGAGUCCAGGGUGGUUUUGGAAGAGCCCCUUGUCCCACCUUCUCCAAUGGGUCAUGUGCCCCAGGGACAUAAAGCCAUCCCGGAGAGACAGGAAGAGGUAGAGGGCAUGAAAAAAUACCAGUCAGGGGUGAGGGCUGGUGUCACACAUCUGCUCCCUCCUCCCUGAUUCAAUACUCAUUGGAGGGGUCCACUCUGUGCCAACUCUUGCCAGACCAAGGGUUUGAAGGACAUGGCCCCUGUUUUCCUAGUGAAUCAGGGAAGACAUAGGUCGAAGUGGACCCAGCUCUUCUUCCCAAGGCUGCAGACAUGUCCUCAAAAAGCCAUGCUCAGCAGAGGUUUUGGUUCUCCAGACCUCAUUCAAUUAGGAUUCACUGAGUACCCAUUCUGUGCCAGGAGCUGGGUAUUAAGCAGGAAAGGAUUUAUUCGCAUAGGGGUUAUUAGAAAGCUCACAGAUUCGUGGCAGAACAGGCUGGCAGGAGCUGUGGCUGUGGCCGCCCACCGCUUUCUGCACAGAGCUUCUUUUUAAAUGAAAGGUGCUUCCUGCCUUUGAUGGGGAAAGUCUUAGUCACAUGCCUGCACCUGAGGGGCGAAGAAGGCUGGCAAAGGCGGCUGUUUGCAUUCUCCCUUGGGCAGGAGGAAUUCACAAUAAGGGAAGCCACCUGAAAAGGGAGAGGGUGCCCACAGGUUUGGGCAACCAUGAUUGACAGCUGCCUGCGGGGCAAGAAAUAGACUGAAUAGACAGAAGAACAAGUUUAGUGGGAGUAAACCCAGCAGCCUUAACUCAGCAGUGCACGAAAGUGACGCAUUUACAUUUUCUCCUAAUAGCAUGUCACUUUUGUUUUUGGAGACCCCUGGUUGGAAGAAGAAGGAUGGAUCUGAUCUUGCCAAAUAAAGGAUUUCAAUCCUUUCCAAUUCUUUCCAAGUCGUGUUCUAUUUAAACAUUGGGUAAAUAUUUAAACAACCCCAUGAGGGCUCCUAUAGCAGUUUCUGCAGUUUAUAACCUCCAGCUCAGGCUUUCUGGCCCUUCUGGGCCUUCUGUCCCUUCUCACUGCUUUAGUCACCCUCCCCCUGUCUAGCUUCUGCCUGCGUAUUAUUCCAGAAUAAAAAUAAGACUGCAAAAUCAAAACUAAUCAAUGUUUAUAUUUAAACAUAUUCUGCAAGCAGGAAUAUUAUGCCAGCUGGUGAACUGCAAUUGAAUUCAAUACUAAUAAAGUCAUUUAAGGUAGGGUCCGAAAACAUCUUCUGAUAAAGUGCAGAAUAAGUCCCCCCAGGUUAGCAUUUUUUCAUCAUUCAUCAAACUACAGGAUUAUCUUAGACCUAGACACCUUGACGACCUUUAUUUGGUGAUAUGUGAAAUAGUUAUUUAUUUUAAAAUCGUGGGAGUUUUAAAGUAAAUAUUUACUGGGUACCAAAUAAGUGCCGGGCACUGUGGGGACAUUAUCUCAUUCUAUCAUGACCUGAUCCUUACACUAAUGGCCACUCCCAUUUUACAGUUGGGGCAACUGAGGUGUAAACGAAUAAAUAACACGCCCUAAAGUUCCAUUAGAACUUGAUCAGCAGCGCAAUUCAGGUCUUAGGGUUUUGACUGAGAGAGGAGUGGGGUCCCUCGUGGUAAAAGCCUUGAGACCCACAGCUUGCAUAUUUGCUUUCUCCUCUUACCUUGGGUCAAAAUAGAAUUUGACUUUGUCAACAAUGAAACAAUGUGGGCCUGACCACAGUUUCAGGGAGGUGAGAACAAGAGCCUUCACUCCCGCCCCAUGGCUCUAAGAUGAUCUUGGUGUGGUUCAAUUUCUUGUGCUUGAAAAAGGCGGUAAUGCUAUUUGAUAACCGCACUUGCUAUCCAUGGCAGAUCAAAAUGGAUACUUCUGGAUGAUCAAAAAUUGAAAUGAGGAUCUUUUUAAAAAUAGUUGAUGAUGUGUGGACAUGAGGAUAUGAAAUCCCUGUUGAGAUCUCUUCUUUGCCCCUAAGGGGUUACCAUGGAUACCAGCAGUGAAUGGAUGACCCACAAGACAGCUCGAAAUCAGAACAUUCCUGGUAUUUCUUAGUGCCAGGUCAUCACAGCCUGGGGCAAAGAUUCCACGAAGCCAAAUAGGUUGGAUGGCUGUUGCCCCUAGGUAGUAAAAGGAGGCUCCUAUUAGUACAAUUUCCCAUGGAGUUUGGUGGGUCAUGCAGAGGCGAAGUGGGUCUUGUUGCCAGGCUGGACGGCUGAUGUGUAUCAUGACCCCAGCCUGCCCCAGAGACUCUGGCGCAUGGCAAGUGACCGCAGAGAAAGGACACAGUAUCCUGGAGAUAAAGGAAGUCAGAGGGGGGCAGGAAUGGUUCUUACCCUCUCCUGCCAGGUCCUGGGGAGCCCAGAUGGGUUUGGCAGGUGGAGCCGGGUUUCCAUAGCCCAAUAUCAAUCUCAUCUCAGAAAUGGGGUGAGUGGGACUGCCUGUCCCUUUAAGAGAUGGUCUCCAAGUACAUAGCUAUUUUUACUUUACUUUACAGUGGGUGAAAUCAACACAUGCCUUCCCUUUCUGUCUUGAGGGAUUCCUAACAUCAGAAGCUGUGACCAUGGAGAAUAUUCCAUCUUAAAAUAAUUUCUGUAUAAUCAUGAGUUGAGGUGAGCUGCAGUCAACAGGCUAUACUUUAUAUAGAUAUUUUAAAUGUUGUUUCUUGUAGAUAUUUCAGUAAGCAUUUAUUGAUUCUUUAAUUUACAUUUUUAUUUUCAUAUUUUGGAGGCUCUGAAUUUAUUUUCAGGUCCCCAGUAUCUUUGUACGUCUUGGAAAUUUUUGUCCUCACUGUGUCCAAUGAACCGGAUGACCCUGCCAGCAGCAUUGCAGUGGCUGUGGUUAGAAACCCAGCAUUCUGUCAAAGUACAACGUUUAAAAGAUUAAAAACAUGACUCAAGAAUUCCCGUUGUGGCUCAGUGGGUUAAGAACCUGACCUAGUAUCCAUGAGGAUGCGGGUUCAAUCCCCGGCCUCGUUCAGUGGGUUAAGGAUGGCUUAAGUGGGUUAAGCUGUAAGGUAGGGAUGCAGCUGUGGUGUAGGUCACGGAUGUGGCUCAGGUCCUAUGUUGCUAUGGCUGUGGCAUAGACCUGCAUCUGCAGCUCCAAUUCAACCCCUAGCCUGGGAAAUUCCAUAUGCUGCAGGUGCGGCCC
RNAcentral lists this long non-coding RNA (3997 nucleotides) under Sus scrofa (pig). RNAcentral's name for it is "lncRNA (ENSSSCG00000061286.1)". The record is from RNAcentral. Lineage: Eukaryota; Metazoa; Chordata; Mammalia; Artiodactyla; Suidae.